GACGAACGCUGGCGGCGUGCUUAACACAUGCAAGUCGAACGGAAAGGCCCUGCUUUUGUGGGGUGCUCGAGUGGCGAACGGGUGAGUAACACGUGAGUAACCUGCCCUUGACUUUGGGAUAACUUCAGGAAACUGGGGCUAAUACCGGAUAGGAGCUCCUGCUGCAUGGUGGGGGUUGGAAAGUUUCGGCGGCUGGGGAUGAACUCGCGAUUUAUCAGCUUGUUGGUGGGGUAGUGGCUUACCAAGGCUUUGACGGGUAGCCGGCCUGAGAGGGUGACCGGCCACAUUGGGAAUGAUAUACGGCCCAAACUCCUACGGGAGGCAGCAGUGGGGAAUAUUGCACAAUGGGCGGAAGCCUGAUGCAGCAACGCCGCGUGCGGGAUGACGGCCUUCGGGUUGUAAACCGCUUUCGCCUGUGACGAAGCGUGAGUGACGGUAAUGGGUAAAGAGGCACCGGCUAACUACGUG
Molecule: ribosomal RNA, 468 nt
Filed under: uncultured bacterium
Lineage: Bacteria
Description: partial 16S ribosomal RNA
Rfam family: Bacterial small subunit ribosomal RNA
Source: RNAcentral